UGGGGAAUAUUGGACAAUGGGCGAAAGCCUGAUCCAGCCAUGCCGCGUGUGUGAAGAAGGUCUUCGGAUUGUAAAGCACUUUAAGUUGGGAGGAAGGGCAGUAAGCGAAUACCUUGCUGUUUUGACGUUACCGACAGAAUAAGCACCGGCUAACUCUGUGCCAGCAGCCGCGGUAAUACAGAGGGUGCAAGCGUUAAUCGGAAUUACUGGGCGUAAAGCGCGCGUAGGUGGUUCGUUAAGUUGAAUGUGAAAGCCCCGGGCUCAACCUGGGAACUGCAUCCAAAACUGGCGAGCUAGAGUAGGGCAGAGGGUGGUGGAAUUUCCUGUGUAGCGGUGAAAUGCGUAGAUAUAGGAAGGAACACCAGUGGCGAAGGCGACCACCUGGGCUCAUACUGACACUGAGGCGCGAAAGCGUGGGGAGCAAACAGG
This 429-nucleotide ribosomal RNA is filed under the name Pseudomonadota bacterium. Its description in RNAcentral is "Proteobacteria bacterium partial 16S ribosomal RNA". It matches the Rfam family "Bacterial small subunit ribosomal RNA", at positions 355 to 776 of the family's 1533-position model. The record is from RNAcentral. Lineage: Bacteria; Pseudomonadati; Pseudomonadota.